Non-coding RNA from Podarcis lilfordi (Lilford's wall lizard), 71 nucleotides. The record is from the annotation of a GenBank genome assembly. Lineage: Eukaryota; Metazoa; Chordata; Lepidosauria; Squamata; Lacertidae.
GGGCUGUAGCUCCUUGGUAGAGCAUCUGCCUUUCGAGCAGAAGGAACCAGGUUCUAUCCCUAGUAGCAUCC